AAUUAAUCUUGUUAGAACUUUUUAUUUGCAGCUCAAAAUUGAUGCUGAAGUCUGAAUUCUCAAAAUGCUGAACAGAAAACCGGAUACCUGUAGAGAAAUUUGCGCCAGCCACCAUGGGGUUCCCAAGAUCACAAACCACCAUUCUAGUUUCAUUUUCCAUCUUGUAAUCACAGCUCAACACACGCAGUGCCUUGUUGUUGCGUUCAACCCCAGUGUAAUCUGCUUCAGGUGGAAUCUUUAUAUGCAGCUCAGCUUCAUAGGCUCCUUCCCCAUCAUUCCUUGGAUUUAUUAUGAGCAUGACACAGUUUUCUUCUCCAAUUAUUAGCUGAUCUUUAUCUCUAUGCAGAACAUAUGACUUGUCAGAAGUUAAAACAUACACAAUUGUGAUUUACAGCAGAAAGCCAAUUUGCUCUCAUAGUAUCUCUUCUGGAAAAUAUUCUGUGAAUACAGAGUAAAACUUGUUCAUAAAAAGUGACCCCUUUGAAAAGUAUGCAAGCACCUGGGAGUGAAAGAGUUCAAGGGAAAACACCCACCAUGGACAAACAGAGUAGACUACUGGAGAGCUUGGAAGUUAGUUGUACACAAUUUCAGAGCCGGACUACUUUCUAACUAGAGACAAGUAUUGAGUGGAAGAAACUAUUUGCUACUAGGUCCC
This 655-nucleotide long non-coding RNA is filed under the name Gallus gallus (chicken). Lineage: Eukaryota; Metazoa; Chordata; Aves; Galliformes; Phasianidae. The record is from RNAcentral.